Molecule: ribosomal RNA, 108 nt
Filed under: Propithecus coquereli (Coquerel's sifaka)
Lineage: Eukaryota; Metazoa; Chordata; Mammalia; Primates; Indriidae
Source: RNAcentral
UUCUCUAGCCAUACCACCCUGAACACGCCUGAUUUCAUCUGAUCUCAGAAGCUAACAGGGUCAGGCCUGGAUGAUACUUGUUUUUUCCUUGCUGAUUUGUUUGAGUUC